CUUGCUGGGGGUCCACUCCAGACCCUGUUCGCCUGGGUAUCACCAGUGGAGUUUGCAGAACAGCAAAGAUUGCUGCUUGCUCCUUCCUCCAGAAGCUUCUUCCCACAGUGGCAUCAACCUGAUUGAUGUCAGCCGGAACUCUCCUGCAUGAGGUGUCUGGCGACCCCUGAUGGGAAGUCUCACCCAGUCAAGAAGCACGGGACUGGAAGGGGGGCCUCCUUACGGAGGCAGACUGACUGUCCCUUAGCAGAGCUGGUGCACUGUAUUGGAGGAAUAACCCUCCUUGGGAUCAGCUGGUCUCUUCAGAGCCAGCAGGCAGGAAAGAUUAAGUCUGCUGAACCUCGGACCAUGGCCGCCGCUCCCCCGAGGUGCUCUGUCCCAGGGAGAUUAGAGUUCUUGUCUGUAAGCCCCUGACUGUAGCUACUGGAAUUCCUGCAGGGAUGCCCUCCAGGUGAGGAGGGAUGGCUUCGGGUCCCACCUAGGAAGCAGUCUGGCCACGAUCUGCAACAGCCACUUUGCUGCGUUGUGGGGAAUUCCACCCAGUCCAAACCUCCUAGUCUCCUUAGCACUGUCAGGGGAAAACCUCCAACUAAAGCCUCAGUAAUGACGGUCGCCCCUCCCCCUGGGAACUGAGUUGUCCCAGGCGGACUCCAGACUGCUGUGCCGGCAGCGGGGAUUUCAAGCCAGUGGUUCUUAGCUUGCGGGGUUUCCGUGGGAGUGGGACCCUCUGAGCGAGACCACUUGGCUCCCUGGCUACAGCCCCCUUUCCACAGAAGUGGACAUUUCUCCUGCCUCACUGGAGUUCCAGGUGCUGCCGGAGUAUGUAAAAAUUCCUGCAGCUCAGUGCCUGCCCAAACAGCCGCCGACGGGAGCAGCUGUCAUUGGUCUGCCCAGUUUUGUAUUUGAGACCCAGGGCACUGGUGGUUGUAGGCUCCCGAGGGGAUCUGCUGAUCUGUGGAUUGCAAAAAUCUGUGGGAAAAGCUUAGUACCCUUGGUGGGUAGCACUGUCCCUCACCACUUCCCUUGGCUGGGGAGGGAGGUCCCCCUGCCCUGUGCAGUUCCUGGGUGAAGCAAUACCCUGCUUCUUCUCGCUCUCUGUGGGUCAUGCCGACCAUCUAGUCAGUCCCAGUGAGAUGAACUGGGUAUCUCAGUUGGAAAUGCAGAAAUCACCCACAUUCCUCGUUCCUCUCGCUGGCAGCUGCAGACCAGAGCUGCUUCUAGUCGGCAGUCUUGGCCCCUCCCCGCCGAGAAGAUGAGGUCUCACUGUGUUGUCCAGGCUCAUCUCAAACUCCCAGACUCCAGUGAUCCUCCUGCCUCAGCCUCCCAAAAUGCUGGAAUCACAAGCUUGAGCCAUCACCUUCAGCCCAUAUCAUCUUAACAUCCAAUAGGAACAGUCAACUGACCCACUGGGAAUGUGACCUUGUGAAUCACCCAGAAAUGAGGUGUCUGACAUCCUGAGACCUGGACCCAUUUCAAGGAGCUUUGGGAAGAGCCCAGAUCACUGAUGGAAUUGGACAGUGCGUGGAAAUGGUUCAGCAGGACGAGGUCGAUACAGAAAAAACUGCAGAAGACCCAGAGGGAUAUCAUAGCAGACUAAAAGUUUGCUAUCUUUCACUUGUGGAAAAGCAUUAAGAUCAUUUUACCUUAAAAAGAAGGUGAGGUGACUUGAUGACUACCACUAAGAAAAUAUAACCUUCUGGAAAACUAUCCCUACCUUGAUGAUUUUAUACACACAAGAGAUGAACAAUGAGGAAUAUGCUUAUAUGUAUUGAGAAAGAGGUGGGCCUGUAGCAUUGUCACAAGGGUGCACAAAUACUGAGAGUGACUGCUGAAGAAAUGGUCCCCAUCAGUGACCCUCAGGUGAGACCAGGGGGCCUA
Homo sapiens (human) is the source of this 1878-nucleotide long non-coding RNA. RefSeq lists it as uncharacterized. Lineage: Eukaryota; Metazoa; Chordata; Mammalia; Primates; Hominidae. The transcript has 6 exons. The record is from RefSeq and is a predicted model, not a curated record.